RNAcentral lists this ribosomal RNA (332 nucleotides) under uncultured bacterium. Its description in RNAcentral is "bacterial SSU rRNA". It matches the Rfam family "Bacterial small subunit ribosomal RNA", at positions 568 to 898 of the family's 1533-position model. The record is from RNAcentral.
CGUGUAGGCGGUCGGUCAAGUCCGGUGUGAAAGCCCGGGGCUCAGCUCCGGAAGGGCAUCGGAAACUAGCCGACUAGAGCGCGAUAGAGGAGGGUGGAAUUCCUGGUGUAGCGGUGAAAUGCGUAGAUAUCAGGAGGAACACCGGCGGCGAAGGCGGCCCUCUGGCUCGUUGCUGACGCUGAUACGCGAAAGCGUGGGGAGCAAACAGGAUUAGAUACCCUGGUAGUCCACGCUGUAAACGAUGGGUACUAGGUGUUCGGGGUGUUGACCCCCUGAGUGCCGACGCUAACGCAUUAAGUACCCCGCCUGGGGACUACGGCCGCAAGGCUAAA